This 490-nucleotide ribosomal RNA is filed under the name uncultured bacterium. RNAcentral's name for it is "partial 16S ribosomal RNA". It matches the Rfam family "Bacterial small subunit ribosomal RNA", at positions 30 to 507 of the family's 1533-position model. The record is from RNAcentral.
AUUGAACGCUGGCGGCAGGCCUAACACAUGCAAGUCGAACGGUAACAGGAAGAAGCUUGCUUCUUUGCUGACGAGUGGCGGACGGGUGAGUAAUGUCUGGGAAACUGCCUGAUGGAGGGGGAUAACUACUGGAAACGGUAGCUAAUACCGCAUAACGUCGCAAGACCAAAGAGGGGGACCUUCGGGCCUCCUGCCAUCGGAUGUGCCCAGAUGGGAUUAGCUAGUAGGUGGGGUAACGGCUCACCUAGGCGACGAUCCCUAGCUGGUCUGAGAGGAUGACCAGCCACACUGGAACUGAGACACGGUCCAGACUCCUACGGGAGGCAGCAGUGGGGAAUAUUGCACAAUGGGCGCAAGCCUGAUGCAGCCAUGCCGCGUGUAUGAAGAAGGCCUUCGGGUUGUAAAGUACUUUCAGCGGGGAGGAAGGGAGUAAAGUUAAUACCUUUGCUCAUUGACGUUACCCGCAGAAGAAGCACCGGCUAACUCCGUG